RNAcentral lists this ribosomal RNA (434 nucleotides) under uncultured bacterium. Its description in RNAcentral is "partial 16S ribosomal RNA". It matches the Rfam family "Bacterial small subunit ribosomal RNA", at positions 29 to 507 of the family's 1533-position model. The record is from RNAcentral.
AGCGAACGCUGGCGGCAGGCCUAACACAUGCAAGUCGAACGAACCUUUCGGGGUUAGUGGCGGACGGGUGAGUAACACGUGGGAACGUGCCUUUAGGUUCGGAAUAACUCAGGGAAACUUGUGCUAAUACCGAAUGUGCCCUUCGGGGGAAAGAUUUAUCGCCUUUAGAGCGGCCCGCGUCUGAUUAGCUAGUUGGUUGAGGUAAAGGCUCACCAAGGCGACGAUCAGUAGCUGGUCUGAGAGGAUGAUCAGCCACAUUGGGACUGAGACACGGCCCAAAAUCCUACGGGAGGCAGCAGUGGGGAAUCUUGCGCAAUGGGCGAAAGCCUGACGCAGCCAUGCCGCGUGAAUGAUGAAGGUCUUAGGAUUGUACAAUUCUUUCACCGGGGACGAUAAUGACGGUACCCGGAGAAGAAGCCCCGGCUAACUUCGUG